This is a non-coding RNA of Podarcis lilfordi (Lilford's wall lizard), 76 nucleotides long. NCBI's taxonomy places the organism in Eukaryota, Metazoa, Chordata, Lepidosauria, Squamata, Lacertidae. The record is from the annotation of a GenBank genome assembly.
GCUUUUCAGGUAGCUCAGUCGGUAGAGCACAAGACUCUUCAUCUCAGGGUUGUGUGUUCGAGCCCCAUAUUGGGCA